CCUACGGGAGGCUGCAGUCGAGAAUAAUUCACAAUGGGGGAAACCCUGAUGGUGCGACGCCGCGUGGGGGAAUGAAGUUCUUGGGAUUGUAAACCCUUGUCAUGUGGGAGCAAAUUAAAAAGAUAGUACCACAAGAGGAAGAGACGGCAAACUCGGUGCCAGCAGCCGCGGUAAUACAGAGGUCUCAAGCGUUGUUCGGAAUCACUGGGCGUAAAGCGUGCGUAGGCUGUUUCGUAAGUCGUGUGUGAAAGGCGCGGGCUCAACCCGCGAACGGCACAUGAUACUGCGAGACUAGAGUAAGGGAGGGGGAGCCGGAAUUCUCGGUGUAGCAGUGAAAUGCGUAGAUAUCGAGAGGAACACUCGUGGCGAAGGCGGGUUCCUGGACAUUAACUGACGCUGAGGCACGAAGGCCAGGGGAGCGAAAGGGAUUAGAUACCCGGGUAGUC
Molecule: ribosomal RNA, 446 nt
Filed under: uncultured bacterium
Lineage: Bacteria
Description: partial 16S ribosomal RNA
Rfam family: Bacterial small subunit ribosomal RNA
Source: RNAcentral